UCCCUCGUGGCUCAGAUGGUAGAGUCUGCCUUCAGCGCAGGAGACCUGGGUUUGAUCCCUGGCUUGGGAA
Molecule: transfer RNA, 70 nt
Filed under: Ovis aries (sheep)
Lineage: Eukaryota; Metazoa; Chordata; Mammalia; Artiodactyla; Bovidae
Rfam family: tRNA
About the family: Transfer RNA (tRNA) molecules are approximately 80 nucleotides in length. Their secondary structure includes four short double-helical elements and three loops (D, anti-codon, and T loops).
Source: Rfam by way of RNAcentral